RNAcentral lists this ribosomal RNA (700 nucleotides) under Kineosporia sp. I11A-02742. Its description in RNAcentral is "bacterial SSU rRNA". It matches the Rfam family "Bacterial small subunit ribosomal RNA", at positions 97 to 811 of the family's 1533-position model. Lineage: Bacteria; Bacillati; Actinomycetota; Actinomycetes; Kineosporiales; Kineosporiaceae. The record is from RNAcentral.
GGCGAACGGGUGAGUAACACGUGAGUAAUCUGCCUCUGACUCUGGGAUAACCACGGGAAACGGUGGCUAAUACCGGAUAUGACACAUGGUCGCAUGGUCUGUGUGUGGAAAGUUUUUCGGUCAGAGAUGAGCUCGCGGCCUAUCAGCUUGUUGGUGGGGUAAUGGCCUACCAAGGCGACGACGGGUAGCCGGCCUGAGAGGGCGACCGGCCACACUGGGACUGAGACACGGCCCAGACUCCUACGGGAGGCAGCAGUGGGGAAUAUUGCGCAAUGGGCGAAAGCCUGACGCAGCGACGCCGCGUGAGGGAUGAAGGCCUUCGGGUCGUAAACCUCUUUCAGCAGGGAAGAAGCGCAAGUGACGGUACCUGCAGAAGAAGCACCGGCUAACUACGUGCCAGCAGCCGCGGUAAUACGUAGGGUGCAAGCGUUGUCCGGAAUUAUUGGGCGUAAAGAGCUCGUAGGCGGUCUGUCGCGUCUGCUGUGAAAACCUAGGGCUUAACUCUGGGCGUGCAGUGGGUACGGGCAGACUAGAGUGCGGUAGGGGAGACUGGAAUUCCUGGUGUAGCGGUGAAAUGCGCAGAUAUCAGGAGGAACACCGGUGGCGAAGGCGGGUCUCUGGGCCGUAACUGACGCUGAGGAGCGAAAGCAUGGGGAGCGAACAGGAUUAGAUACCCUGGUAGUCCAUGCCGUAAACGUUG